CGCGAGACUAGAGUCACAUCCUGAUACUACUUGUUGUCUUGGUGUGCUAGAGUCCUCGCAGAGCAAACCUCUCUGCUUAUUCAUUGGCUGCUGCUUUCCAUUGCUCAGCCAAUCACCAGCUCUGAAACACCU
This is a small nucleolar RNA of Pygocentrus nattereri (red-bellied piranha), 132 nucleotides long. Ensembl annotates it as Small nucleolar RNA SNORA3/SNORA45 family. NCBI's taxonomy places the organism in Eukaryota, Metazoa, Chordata, Actinopteri, Characiformes, Serrasalmidae. The record is from Ensembl.